This is a non-coding RNA of Candidatus Roizmanbacteria bacterium, 73 nucleotides long. The record is from Rfam. NCBI's taxonomy places the organism in Bacteria, Candidatus Roizmaniibacteriota.
GGCCCCAUCGUCUAGCGGCCCAGGACAAUAGGUUUUCAGCCUAUCAACACGAGUUCGAAUCUCGUUGGGGUCA